AGCAGCCGCGGUAAUUCCAGCUCCAAUAGCGUAUAUUAAAGUUGUUGCAGUUAAAAGCUCGUAGUUGAAUUUCGGAAUCAGUACGCUGGUCGUGCCUUAGGUAUGCACUGGUGUCACUGGUUUCUCCCUUCUGACGAACCGACAUGCCAUUCACUUGGUGUGGCGGGAAAUCAGGACUGUUACUUUGAAAAAUUAGAGUGUUUAAAGCAGGCUCACGCUUGAAUACAUUAGCAUGGAAUAAUGAAAUAGGACGUUGAUCUUAUUUUGUUGGUUUCUAGGAUUGACAUAAUGAUUAAUAGGGAUAGUUGGGGGCAUUAGUAUUCAAUUGUCAGAGGUGAAAUUCUUGGAUUUAUUGAAGACUAACUACUGCGAAAGCAUUUGCCAA
This 385-nucleotide ribosomal RNA is filed under the name uncultured Glomeromycotina. RNAcentral describes it as "SSU rRNA". It matches the Rfam family "Eukaryotic small subunit ribosomal RNA", at positions 569 to 961 of the family's 1831-position model. The record is from RNAcentral. Lineage: Eukaryota; Fungi; Glomeromycota.